UAGCACAACACAUAAUUAAUAUCUUCAUUAGUUGGGAAAUUUAUAUUCAUUUUAUAACUUUAAUAAUAAUAAUAAAGAAAAUUCGCAAAAAAUACCAUCAGCAUGUAUUACCCGAAGGAAUACCUGUGGUUCAGGAUUAAACGCCGAUGGACUUUUGCAGAAGAUGCAAGGAUUGUGAGACUGAGACUGAUGACUUAUGACCGAGAUUUUAAUUGGGAUGGCUUAAGGAAUUACGAUCAUCAAUUGUGGAAAUGAAUUGCAGCGGAACCAAUUUUGAGAAAAAGGCGCAAAAUUAUUAAAACGACGUACCGGCGGUUUUUAGGACUUUUAAAUGAUUACGAGUGCUGCUUCGUCCGAAUGCCAGAAAGAGACCAAAUGGAGUUCGACUGGCCGUUCAGAUACUGCUUUAACUUUUAUAAAUCACUCUCGGAAAAUAAAAGACAAGAAAACCAGGAAGAAGAUGAGUCAAAGGAUCUAAAGAAAACACCGGUCUCUGGGAAAACUAUGCGCUUGAAUUUUGAGGCUAAGUUUGAUGAACCAAUGAACACAACGCGAUACACGAUUGAACUUGAAAAUGAUAAUAUUAAAGUCCGAAAAUUAUCAGACUAAAAUCAAACAAAUAUUUAAUCACAGAUAUUAAGUAUAUGCUUAAUAUCACGGAUACCCAUGAACAUCUCUAUAAUUUUCUAAUUGCUUCGUUACACUACAUUACAUAUAUUUAACCGUUUUAAGAAUGUUACUUACAUUACAUAUAUUUAACCGUUUUAGAAAUGUUACAUUACAUAUA
RNAcentral lists this long non-coding RNA (787 nucleotides) under Cotesia glomerata. Its description in RNAcentral is "uncharacterized LOC123268165". The record is from RNAcentral. Lineage: Eukaryota; Metazoa; Arthropoda; Insecta; Hymenoptera; Braconidae.